Gymnothorax javanicus (giant moray) is the source of this 75-nucleotide non-coding RNA. Lineage: Eukaryota; Metazoa; Chordata; Actinopteri; Anguilliformes; Muraenidae. The record is from the annotation of a GenBank genome assembly.
GGCUCUUUGGCGAUGUGGUCAGCGUGCGCGGGCUCUUACCUGGGAGUUUGGGGUUCAAUUCCCCGCCUAGGGCCC